AGAGAUCCUAGCCAGACACCUUAAUUAGUGAUUUCGCAGAGAUCCUAGCCAGACAUGGAUGACCAAUAGUUCUAUGGUGCCAACUCUACUGGGCCGGGUUCAUUUGUUACAAACGAAUUCCAUUUUUUAUCAAUCUGGUGAAAAAUUUGCUAAAUUCAUUGGGUUCAACUUACCCCACUGCCUAUAAAGGUUACUCCGUCCAGCAGAGACGAAUCUGAAUCUGUUGAGUACAGGGAAGAAGUUAGACCAAUAGUCUUAUGGUGUCAGCACUAUUGUACUGGUUCAUUUGUUACAAAUGAAUACCAUUAUUUACAGAUUUAGUGAAGAGAUUGCUCAAUUCAUUGUAUUCACUAACCUUACAGCGUAUAAGGCGCCUCAGUCCCCGUUAGAGCAGAGAAUAAAUAUCUUACUAAAAUCCAUAUCAAACCUUGAACUUGCAGUGGUAGUCUAAGGGCCUGUUCGGAGUCUCACCACUCCAGAACUCCACUCCAGGAGCG
Molecule: long non-coding RNA, 497 nt
Filed under: Triticum aestivum (bread wheat)
Lineage: Eukaryota; Viridiplantae; Streptophyta; Magnoliopsida; Poales; Poaceae
Description: long non-coding RNA (TAES_LNC022620)
Source: RNAcentral